Molecule: ribosomal RNA, 367 nt
Filed under: uncultured organism
Description: bacterial LSU rRNA
Rfam family: Bacterial large subunit ribosomal RNA
Source: RNAcentral
CUUUACUGUAGCCUGGAAUUGGGUUCGGGCUUUGACUGCGCAGGAUAGGUGGGAGACUAUGAGACAUCCCUUGUGGGGGAUGUGGAGUCAUCAGUGAGAUACCACUCUGUCAAGGCUAGAAUUCUAACUCAUUGCCGUGAUCCGGCAUGGGAACAGUUUCAGGUGGGCAGUUUGACUGGGGCGGUCGCCUCCUAAACGAUAACGGAGGCGCACAAAGGUUCCCUCAGGCUGGUUGGAAAUCAGCAGAAGAGUGUAAAGGCAGAAGGGAGCUUGACUGUGAGACUGACAAGUCGAGCAGGGUGGAAACACGGUCUUAGUGAUCCGACGGCACUGAGUGGAAGGGCCGUCGCUCAACGGAUAAAAGUUA